RNAcentral lists this long non-coding RNA (2615 nucleotides) under Prunus dulcis (almond). Its description in RNAcentral is "sRNA ncRNA". The record is from RNAcentral. Lineage: Eukaryota; Viridiplantae; Streptophyta; Magnoliopsida; Rosales; Rosaceae.
CCCUGCCUGAAAAUAAUAUAUCUCGAUUACAGAGGUCGAUUACAGAGGUGGCCAAAUCAUCCACCCAAACUGGUAUGUAUCUUUUAAUCGUGUCUGCAAUAUGCAAAAUUUCUUUGUACAUUUGUUGAAAGAUUUCAUGAUUAAUUAGAUAUGACUAAAUUAGAAAUAUUUAGCUAUAAAUAUGUAACUAUUGAAUACUUAGGUGCUUUAUAUACUUGUAUUUUCUACUUCAGCCCCCUAACUUAAUGAUUCUAGCUCCACCCCAACGAGUAACAUAGUCGCCUCCAUGUGUAGAACAACAAUAGCAAACCACCAAAAUGGUCCAUAAUGAGAAGUAUCUAGGAAGGCCAAUAAUGUCUUUGUCAAAGACUCAUGUUAUCAUUCAUCUAAUCUCAUACAUGUUUACAUACAUUAUUGGAAAACAUGAGACAUAAAAACAUAUGGGAGCUGAUUUUCCCAUUCUUUUUUAUCCACAUACACAUCCUUUUGUUUAUAAAAAAAAAAAAAAAAUUAUUUUGUACUAAAACAUAUAAGGAAGUGUAAGUGAACAAAAGAUGAGUGGGAAAAUCGGCUCCCAAAAAUAUAACCAAUUAUAUUGAGCUAAAAGUGUCAACAAUCCUUUCAACAUACUCAUUAAAUAUCUUUAGCCAUAAUUAACCCUUUUGUUAAUGGGAACCAAAAAAGAAAUAGAGGAAGCUAUACAUUUUUAAUUGAAUAAACAGGGCUUGAAUGGGAAGCAGGUUGCAAGGGAACUUUUCUUUUUGCAAAUAUUGAAGAAUACCUUGGAUGACAUUUUGUGAAUUUCUUGUAACAAGGUCAAAGGUCUUUCCUCAGUUAGUUCCACAGAUUGUAGAAAGAGCUCUAAGCUUGCCUGAAAAUAAUAUCUUAUACCAAGGAGGAGUCAUCUAGUCAGCCAAUGAUUCAACUAAAGUACUUACGAAUAAGAUGGUAAGCUUCAUCAUCCUCAACCUAUGAUCAUAAUUUGAUUUGACCUACCAACGUUAUCAAUUAACUCUAGAGUUUUUGACAUGCAAUAUUAUAAAUUUAAAAAGCACAUAUACUGACCGAUGCUGGCUUACUAACUAAAGUAAAAUUUUGGCUCUGCCAUACACAUGAUGACAGAGGGGCCGUGCACAUAUUUCAGGGACGCCCCAUAGGCAUGGCGAUAGAGGUAUAGCGCAUGAUGGUGCUUCAAGCAUACCAACCAGUGAUGAGGGAUCGAUAAUUGGAAAUUCGAGUGAUUCAGUGGCGAUUGCCAUACAGCGAUUAAUCCGAGGUACGCCUGAUCUGAGGCCUGAGUGUUGCAUCUACAAUGUCCCGGAGAGAUUUCGCAAGGGGAAUGAAGAAUUCUACAAACCUCGUGUAGUCGCAAUCGGACCUUAUCACUUCAAAGAUGCAAGCUAUGACAUGUGUAAGCCCAAAUACGUGGACGCCUUUUUCCGCCGGAACAAGCUCAACUUCGACCAUUGUCUUGGAUUAGUGAGAGCAUGGGAAGCAAAAGCAAGGAGCUAUUAUGCGAACCAUAUUGAACUAAGUAGUGAUACGUUUACUUUUAUCAUGCUGCUGGAUGCAACUUUUGUUUUGGAACUCAUGCUUAGGCAUCACUUUUCUAGAUACAGAGAUAAUUAUGAUCCGAUAUUUCACAAGCCGAGGAUGAUUGAAGACGUUUACCACGACAUCUUGUUGAUCGAAAAUCAACUUCCCUUCUUCGUCCUUGAGGGUUUGUACGAGCAAAUCGGUACGAAUAGUCUCUCUCCAGGAGAUGAUCAUCUUUCUUUCACCAUGCUAACUCAUGAGUUCUUCAAGCAUUUCGUGAAAAUUGAUAAGUUUCCCGCCCAUGUUGUCUCUGCUAAUGAUCAAGUGAAUCAUUUUGUUGAUUUUAUACGACGCUACUACUUGGCGCCGCCACGGCCUCAAGAGGACCAGCAAAAUCUUGAAAUUCCACCAAGCGCGACGGCACUCUAUGAGGCCGGAGUUAAGUUUGAUACAAUUAAAGGCAGUGCCUCCUUGCUUAACAUAGAAUUCAAGAAUGGUUGUCUCAAAAUUCCAAAUUUCAUAGUAGACGACUGGACAGAAACUCUCUUCAGGAACCUGAUUGCUUUCGAGCAGUGCCACUACACAGAGAAGUACAUUUCCCAGUUUAUGUUCCUCAUGAUGUGCAUGAUCAGGACUUCAAAGGACGCAGAUUUACUCAUGGACUCCGGAGUCAUAUCUAGCAUGCGAGGGAGUAGUAAAGACCUCUCCAUUCUAUUUAACCAUAUCAGCAGAGACGUUGGCUUCGGAGAGCCUUUUUAUUACUUUCAGAUUUGUGCAGAUCUAAAUGCAUACUGCAAUACCCGUCGGCACCGGUGGAAGGCAAUUCUGAAGCGAGACUAUUUCAACACUCCAUGGAAACUUGCUUCUACUAUUGCUGCAAUUAUACUCCUUGUGCUCACAUUCAUCCAAACCAUAUGCUCUAUCUUAUCCCUCUAAGGCCUUGUUUGGUUCACGGAAGAGAUUUGAGGGGAAAUCACUUCCUACGUUAUUUUCCAAUGGAUGGGAAAUGGAAGAUUCAUUUUCCAAGUAUGGAGAGCUAUCACUUUAUUUCAUUUUCCAUGUUUGUUUUGUGUAGGAAU